AUGACUCAUCAAAAGCGUGAAGCCAGUUCCAGCAAUGAAGAUUGGGUAUCAAAACGCCCAAAAGGUGCUGCCACUUCUACUGAAAAGGAUUGUCAAGUAGAGACUGCUGGUUCUCAAGAAAUGAAUGGUGAAAAGAGAGACACCCCUCAAAAUGGAAGCAACUUGCCGCUAGACCCAUGCAUCUCGGAUGAGAAAUCCACAACCAUCUUGGAAGUUCCAAGUCAGCAAGAGAUGAUACUAACUAGUGUUGAAGCCGAUGCUGCAGAAGACAAGGGCUGCAGGCAUACAAUGGAGGAUGCCUGGGUGGUGCUUCCUGAUGCUAGCAUGGGAUCUCCUGGAAAUUUGAGAUCUGCACAUUUUGCAAUAUAUGAUGGGCAUGGUGGCCGCUUGGCCGCGGAGUAUGCACAGAAGCACUUACACCCGCAUGUUAUUGCUGCAGGAUUACCACGUGAGUUGAUGAAUGUUAAAGUGGCAAAGAAGGCCAUUAUUGAAGGUUUCCGUAAAGCUGAUGAAUCACUACUGCAAGAAAGUGCUAAAGGAAACUGGCAAGAUGGCGCAACAGCUGUAUGUGUUUGGGUUUUGGGACAGACGGUUUUAGUUGCGAAUGCUGGGGAUGCUAAAGCAGUAUUAGCUCGUUCUACUUCAACUGAUGGUGAAGGUGCGGUGGCUGACACCAAAAGUCCACUGAAAGCUAUUGUUUUGACAAGAGAACACAAAGCCAUCUUUCCACAAGAACGCUCGAGAAUCCAGAAGGCUGGAGGUUCUGUUGGUCCCAAUGGAAGACUACAAGGGCGCAUUGAAGUAUCUAGAGCUCUUGGAGAUCGUCACUUUAAGAAGGUGGGGUUGAUUGCAACACCAGAUGUCCAUUCUUUUGAACUAACAGUGAAGGACCAUUUCAUCAUUCUUGGGUGUGAUGGCUUGUGGGGAGUGUUUGGGCCAAGUGACGCUGUUGAAUUUGUCCAGAAGCAAUUGAAGGAGACGUCCUCAGCCACGCUCGCAGUGCGGCGCCUGGUGAAGGAGGCUGUCCGCGAGAGGAGGUGCAAGGAUAACUGCACUGCUGUUCUGAUCGUCUUCAAGCACUAG
This 1083-nucleotide ribosomal RNA is filed under the name Triticum aestivum (bread wheat). Its description in RNAcentral is "partial small subunit ribosomal RNA". The record is from RNAcentral. Lineage: Eukaryota; Viridiplantae; Streptophyta; Magnoliopsida; Poales; Poaceae.